ACUCAAAGGAAUUGACGGGGGCCCGCACAAGCGGUGGAGCAUGUGGUUUAAUUCGAUGCAACGCGAAGAACCUUACCUAGAUUUGACAUUUGGAGACAAUCCUAGAAGUAGGACUUUCCCUUCGGGGACUCCAGGACAGGUGCUGCAUGGCUGUCGUCAGCUCGUAUCGUGAGAUGUCGGGUUAAGUCCCUUAACGAGCGCAACCCUUAUCCUUAGUUGCCACCAUUUAGUUGGGCACUCUAGGGAGACCGCCGGCGUUAAGCCGGAGGAAGGCGGGGAUGACGUCAAGUCCUCAUGGCCUUUAUAUCUAGGGCUACACACGUGCUACAAUGGCCGGUACAAAAGGUUGCCAACCCGCGAGGGGGAGCUAAUCUUAGAAAGCCGGUCUCAGUUCGGAUUGAAGUCUGCAACUCGACUUCAUGAAGCUGGAAUCGCUAGUAAUCGCGGAUCAGCACGCCGCGGUGAAUACGUUCCCGGGCCUUGCACACACCGCCCGU
This 497-nucleotide ribosomal RNA is filed under the name uncultured bacterium. Its description in RNAcentral is "partial 16S ribosomal RNA". It matches the Rfam family "Bacterial small subunit ribosomal RNA", at positions 899 to 1397 of the family's 1533-position model. The record is from RNAcentral.